GCAUCCGUAGCUCAGCUGGAUAGAGUACUCGGCUACGAACCGAGCGGUCGGAGGUUCGAAUCCUCCCGGAUGCN
RNAcentral lists this transfer RNA (74 nucleotides) under Klebsiella sp. BIGb0149. RNAcentral's name for it is "Raoultella sp. BIGb0149 tRNA-Arg". It matches the Rfam family "tRNA". Rfam says of the family: Transfer RNA (tRNA) molecules are approximately 80 nucleotides in length. Their secondary structure includes four short double-helical elements and three loops (D, anti-codon, and T loops). The record is from RNAcentral. Lineage: Bacteria; Pseudomonadati; Pseudomonadota; Gammaproteobacteria; Enterobacterales; Enterobacteriaceae.